Molecule: ribosomal RNA, 254 nt
Filed under: uncultured bacterium
Lineage: Bacteria
Description: partial 16S ribosomal RNA
Rfam family: Bacterial small subunit ribosomal RNA
Source: RNAcentral
CACGUAGGGUGCGAGCGUUGUCCGGAAUUAUUGGGCGUAAAGAGCUCGUAGGCGGUGUGUCGCGUCGGCCGUGAAAACCUGCAGCUUAACUGUGGGCGUGCGGUCGAUACGGGCAUCACUGGAGUUCGGCAGGGGAGACUGGAAUUCCUGGUGUAGCGGUGAAAUGCGCAGAUAUCAGGAGGAACACCGGUGGCGAAGGCGGGUCUCUGGGCCGAUACUGACGCUGAGGAGCGAAAGCGUGGGGAGCGUACAGG